Molecule: non-coding RNA, 47 nt
Organism: Schistosoma mansoni
Lineage: Eukaryota; Metazoa; Platyhelminthes; Trematoda; Strigeidida; Schistosomatidae
Source: Rfam
AUCCGGCUGAUGAGUUCCAGAUAGGACGAAACGCGCGUCAUUUGGAU